AACGAACGCUGGCGGCAUGCCUAACACAUGCAAGUCGAACGAACCCUUCGGGGUUAGUGGCGCACGGGUGCGUAACGCGUGGGAAUCUGCCCUUUGCUUCGGAAUAACUCAGGGAAACUUGUGCUAAUACCGGAUGAUGUCUUCGGACCAAAGAUUUAUCGGCAAGGGAUGAGCCCGCGUAGGAUUAGGUAGUUGGUGGGGUAAAGGCCUACCAAGCCGACGAUCCUUAGCUGGUCUGAGAGGAUGAUCAGCCACACUGGGACUGAGACACGGCCCAGACUCCUACGGGAGGCAGCAGUGGGGAAUAUUGGACAAUGGGCGCAAGCCUGAUCCAGCAAUGCCGCGUGAGUGAUGAAGGCCCUCGGGUCGUAAAGCUCUUUUACCAGGGAUGAUAAUGACAGUACCUGGAGAAUAAGCUCCGGCUAACUCCGUGCCAGCCGCCGCGGUAA
RNAcentral lists this ribosomal RNA (449 nucleotides) under uncultured bacterium. Its description in RNAcentral is "partial 16S ribosomal RNA". It matches the Rfam family "Bacterial small subunit ribosomal RNA", at positions 29 to 523 of the family's 1533-position model. The record is from RNAcentral.